RNAcentral lists this ribosomal RNA (719 nucleotides) under Cryptosporidium xiaoi. RNAcentral's name for it is "SSU rRNA". It matches the Rfam family "Eukaryotic small subunit ribosomal RNA", at positions 267 to 1033 of the family's 1831-position model. Lineage: Eukaryota; Apicomplexa; Conoidasida; Eucoccidiorida; Cryptosporidiidae. The record is from RNAcentral.
GAUCACAUUAUGUGACAUAUCAUUCAAGUUUCUGACCUAUCACCUUUAAACAGUAGGGUAUUGGCCUACCGUGGCUAUGACGGGUAACCGGGAAUUAGGGUUCGAUUCCGGAGAGGGAGCCUGAGAAACGGCUACCACAUCUAAGGAAGGCAGCAGGCGCGCAAAUUACCCAAUCCUAAUACAGGGAGGUAGUGACAAGAAAUAACAAUACAGAACCUUACGGUUUUGUAAUUGGAAUGAGUUAAAUAUAAACCCCUUAACAAGUAUCAAUUGGAGGGCAAGUCUGGUGCCAGCAGCCGCGGUAAUUCCAGCUCCAAUAGCGUAUAUUAAAGUUGUUGCAGUUAAAAAGCUCGUAGUUAAUCUUCUGUUAAUUUUUAUAUAUAAUAUUUCGAUAUUUAUAUAAUAUUAACAUAAUUCAUAUUACUUUUUAGUAUAUGAAACUUUACUUUGAGAAAAUUAGAGUGUUUAAAGCAGGCUAUUGCCUUGAAUAUUCCAGCAUGGAAUAAUAUUAAGGAUUUUUAUUCUUUUUAUUGGUUCUAGAAUAAAAAUGAUGAUUAAUAGGAACAGUUGGGGGCAUUUGUAUUUAACAGUCAGAGGUGAAAUUCUUAGAUUUGUUAAAGACAAAGUACUGCGAAAGCAUUUGCCAAGGAUGUUUUCAUUAAUCAAGAAGGAAAGUUAGGGGAUCGAAGACGAUCAGAUACCGUCGUAGUCUUAACCAU